GAUAGGAAGUUGAUCUCCUGUGACAUGUACUACCCCUCUUGGCUGCCAAGGUUGCAUUGGCCCAUCUGGCAGGCUCAAGGGUGUCCCCUUCCUCCCCCACCCACCAGGUGAGACUUUCCUGAAACCAAGCCAGAGGGGCUGACCUUCUCAGCUUGAGGGAAAUGGUGUAGGGCUAACUGCGCUGCUCUGGCAGAAGAGCUAAAGGAUUUCUCAGAAUUCUUAUCUGCCCUGCCAGGAGUUAGUGAGACAGAGAUGGAUCUGGGCUUGUCAUUUCCGGGUCU
Molecule: small RNA, 281 nt
Filed under: Vulpes vulpes (red fox)
Lineage: Eukaryota; Metazoa; Chordata; Mammalia; Carnivora; Canidae
Description: 7SK RNA (ENSVVUG00000013371.1)
Source: RNAcentral